AGUUUACGUUGUGGGGACAAGCUGCUCCUUACCAGAAGAAAGGUCCCACAAGCAAAUGGAUUUUGGACAGCAGGAUGCCAGCGUUACCUCUACUGAGUGCUGAUUGGUUGGCGAGCAAAGCAGCUCAUUGACUAUUCACGCUCACUGACGACAUGAAUAAAUAUGAGGCUCUGUUUAAACUCCUAUAACUUGAGUUUAAAAGCUCUUAUAUCUUUAUAAACUAUGCUUUUGCUCUGAUGCUCCAUCUUAACCCAUUCAUUUUGGACUCGCUCAGGAGCGCCCUCUAGUAUCUGACAAACCCAGAAGACGAUUUCAGCCAUGUCUCAUCCACGAUUCAAAUUGCAUCGAGUCGAGAUGGAAAACAAUAACACUGAACUCAACAGCUCCAAACCAACUGAAAUACAUUACCCAGAAUGCACCAGCCAUUGAAGACUCCCUUCCGAGCUGCAUCAGAACCAGAUGCUUACGGUCUGUAAAUGACUGAUUUCGGAUGUUCUAGCCCAGGAAUGUCUACCACCACACACACACACACACACACACACACACACACACACACACACACACACACAGUUUGAGAAUCCUUCCUCUCAUAUGUCACACAUGUGCGCGCGCGCACACACACACACAUUUAGAAUCUUACAAACUCACCCUAACUCUACGCACGCACACACACACAUUUACAUUUAUGUAGUCUUAUAUUUAUAGUCUUUAAACAUAGGCCCAGAGAACCGCCCAGCCCCCCCCACGCACACACUUUUAGCAGUGUGUGAACCUUCACAUCUCAGUAGCACACAAACCAGCUCCAGACACAGCAGAGGAGAAAGAUGGAUGAGAGAGAAACGCUCCAAAAACAGCCCAGGAGAAAAAAGAUGGACACGUACCACUGAGCUUCACCCUGAGAACAGAGAGAGACAGAGAGAGAGACAGAGAGAGAGACAGAGAGAGAGACAGAGAGAGAGACAGAGAGAGAGACAGAGAGAGAGACAGAGAGAGAGACAGAGAGAGAGACAGAGAGAACGCACCAGUCCCUGCUGAGCCAAAUCCAUCUCACUGGAAAAUGUUCCGACUUUCUUUCCAACUUACCCUUCCUUUGUUUACAGAAAGACU
Pygocentrus nattereri (red-bellied piranha) is the source of this 1107-nucleotide long non-coding RNA. RefSeq lists it as uncharacterized. NCBI's taxonomy places the organism in Eukaryota, Metazoa, Chordata, Actinopteri, Characiformes, Serrasalmidae. The transcript is spliced from 3 exons. The record is from RefSeq and is a predicted model, not a curated record.